GACGAACGCUGGCGGCGUGCCUAAUACAUGCAAGUCGAACGAGAGCGACCGGUGCUUGCACUGGUCAAUCUAGUGGCGAACGGGUGAGUAACACGUGGGUAACCUGCCCAUCAGAGGGGGAUAACAUCCGGAAACGGAUGCUAAAACCGCAUAGGUCUUCGAGCCGCAUGGCUUGAAGAGGAAAAGAGGCGCAAGCUUCUGCUGAUGGAUGGACCCGCGGUGCAUUAGCUAGUUGGUGAGGUAACGGCUCACCAAGGCCGUGAUGCAUAGCCGACCUGAGAGGGUGAUCGGCCACAUUGGGACUGAGACACGGCCCAAACUCCUACGGGAGGCAGCAGUAGGGAAUCUUCCGCAGUGGACGCAAGUCUGACGGAGCAACGCCGCGUGAGUGAAGAAGGUUUUCGGAUCGUAAAACUCUGUUGUUAGAGAAGAACAAGUGCUAGAGUAACUGUUAGCGCCUUGACGGUAUCUAACCAGAAAGCCACGGCUAACUACGU
This 497-nucleotide ribosomal RNA is filed under the name uncultured bacterium. RNAcentral's name for it is "partial 16S ribosomal RNA". It matches the Rfam family "Bacterial small subunit ribosomal RNA", at positions 28 to 506 of the family's 1533-position model. The record is from RNAcentral.